Molecule: ribosomal RNA, 494 nt
Filed under: uncultured bacterium
Lineage: Bacteria
Description: partial 16S ribosomal RNA
Rfam family: Bacterial small subunit ribosomal RNA
Source: RNAcentral
GACGAGCGCUGGCGGCGUGCUUAACACAUGCGAGUCGAACGGUGAAGCGCCUUCCUUUUUGGUGGGUGUGGAUGAGUGGCGAACGGGUGAGUAACACGUGAGUAACCUGCCCCCUUCUUCUGGAUAACCGCAUGAAAGUGUGGCUAAUACGGGAUAUUCUGGGUCUGUCGCAUGAUGGGUCUGGGAAAGAUAUUGUUUCGGUGGGGGAUGGGCUCGCGGCCUAUCAGCUUGUUGGUGGGGUGAUGGCCUACCAAGGCGGUGACGGGUAGCCGGCCUGAGAGGGUGGACGGGCACAAUGGGACUGAGACACGGCCCAGACUCCUACGGGAGGCAGCAGUGGGGAAUAUUGCACAAUGGGCGCAAGCCUGAUGCAGCGACGCCGCGUGAGGGAUGGAGGCCUUCGGGUUGUGAACCUCUUUCGCCAGUGAAGCAGGCCUGCCUCGUUUGUGGGUGGGUUGACGGUAGCUGGAUAAGAAGCGCCGGCUAACUACGUG